Molecule: long non-coding RNA, 441 nt
Filed under: Oryzias sinensis (Chinese medaka)
Lineage: Eukaryota; Metazoa; Chordata; Actinopteri; Beloniformes; Adrianichthyidae
Description: lncRNA (ENSOSIG00000017097.1)
Source: RNAcentral
GUUGGAUUAAAAACAGUCUACUUGUGUGUUCCGAUUAUGUUAAUCAUUAGUGACUGGCAGGGCAGCCUGCACAGCUUGUGCCUUUGGGAUGUGAAAGCUCACUGCUCUGUGUGUCUGACUCUCUGCAUGCGAACGCACCGACUCGACUCCCAUAAUUCAACAGGCAACAAAGGAAGAAAGAAACAGGCCGCGAGCUACAAAAGGGUUAGCCCACCUUGGCUAGAAGAUAUCACGUUAGUGUGUUUAUCCGCCCGUCGCUUCACUUCUGAGAAAAGAAGGUGAUGGAGGUGGAACUUGACCCAGCCAACUGAGUCACCAUUUCCCCGCAGAUAAUAGAUGCUGCUGGUCCACAUUGUGCAUGACUUUUUUCAUGUGGGCUGAUGGGAGGACACCGUGGAUAGAACUGUCGUCAGGAUACCUGGAGAGCCACCCCAUGCCCCC